Molecule: ribosomal RNA, 256 nt
Filed under: uncultured soil bacterium
Lineage: Bacteria
Description: partial 16S ribosomal RNA
Rfam family: Bacterial small subunit ribosomal RNA
Source: RNAcentral
AGGACGAACGCUGGCGGCGUGCUUAACACAUGCAAGUCAAGGGGGCCCAGUAGCAAUACUGGGCAACCGGCGAACGGGUGCGUAACACGUGAGCAACCUACCGAAAUGUGGGGGAUAGCCGGCCUAACGGCCGAGUAAUACCGCAUACGCUCUCGAUGAGGCAUUUCAUUGAGAGGAAACCUACGGGACAUUUCGAGGGGCUCGCGGCCUAUCAGCUAGUUGGAGAGGUAACGGCUCACCAAGGCAACGACGGGUA